GACGAACGCUGGCGGCGUGCUUAACACAUGCAAGUCGAACGGAAAGGCCCUGCUUUUGUGGGGUGCUCGAGUGGCGAACGGGUGAGUAACACGUGAGUAACCUGCCCUUGACUUUGGGAUAACUUCAGGAAACUGGGGCUAAUACCGGAUAGGAGCUCCUGCUGCAUGGUGGGGGUUGGAAAGUUUCGGCGGUUGGGGAUGGACUCGCGGCUUAUCAGCUUGUUGGUGGGGUAGUGGCUUACCAAGGCUUUGACGGGUAGCCGGCCUGAGAGGGUGACCGGCCACAGUGGGACUGAGAUACGGCCCAGACUCCUACGGGAGGCAGCAGUGGGGAAUAUUGCACAAUGGGCGGAAGCCUGAUGCAGCAACGCCGCGGGCGGGAUGACGGCCUUCGGGUUGUAAACCGCUUUCGCCUGUGACGAAGCGUGAGUGACGGUAAGGGGUAAAGAAGCACCGGCUAACUACGUGC
This 469-nucleotide ribosomal RNA is filed under the name uncultured bacterium. RNAcentral describes it as "partial 16S ribosomal RNA". It matches the Rfam family "Bacterial small subunit ribosomal RNA", at positions 28 to 508 of the family's 1533-position model. The record is from RNAcentral.